GGAGGUGGCAAGCGUUGUUCGGAAUUACUGGGCGUAAAGGGCGCGUAGGCGGCUAGGCAAGUCAGAUGUGAAAGCCCCGGGCUUAACUCGGGAAUUGCAUCUGAAACUGCUGUGCUUGAGUUCUGGAGGGGGUAGUGGAAUUCCCAGUGUAGCGGUGAAAUGCGUAGAUAUUGGGAGGAACACCUGCGGCGAAGGCGGCUACCUGGACAGAAACUGACGCUGAGGCGCGAAAGCUAGGGGAGCGAACGGGAUUAGAUACCCCGGUAGUCCUAGCUGUAAACGAUGGGCACUUGGUGUUGGGGGUAUUGAGUCCCCCGGUGCCGGAGUUAACACGUUAAGUGCCCCGCCUGGGGAGUACGGUCGCAAGACUGAA
This 373-nucleotide ribosomal RNA is filed under the name uncultured bacterium. RNAcentral describes it as "bacterial SSU rRNA". It matches the Rfam family "Bacterial small subunit ribosomal RNA", at positions 527 to 898 of the family's 1533-position model. The record is from RNAcentral.